This 1240-nucleotide long non-coding RNA is filed under the name Canis lupus familiaris (dog). RNAcentral describes it as "lncRNA (ENSCAFG00000053599.1)". Lineage: Eukaryota; Metazoa; Chordata; Mammalia; Carnivora; Canidae. The record is from RNAcentral.
AGGGUAUUAUCCGGCAUUCUCAUAAACAAAAUGAAAAAAAGUUUUCCUUUACUUUGGCUUUGCAAAUGGGCUACUUUCAGUUCUCAUUUAGCAUAAAGACUACCGACUACCAAUCUUUUUUUUUUUUUUUUUUUUUAAGACUACCAAUCUACGUUUUUCUCAUAGUUCAAUCCAAAAUCUCCAAAAAGUGGCAUUUUGUCGGUGGUGGUAGUUUUUGUAUUGCCUGUUUGGUUGUUGCUACUUUUGCCCUUUCAUCGAAGUCCUGAGAUAGAUUAGGGGGUUAAACUCAAAAUUUCUUAUCUCACCUUCUCUUUUCGUUCCUCUUUAAACCACGUAUUUUGAAAAGAAAUGUCAUGACAAGAUAGCAUACUCUUCUCUUACCUUGCUUUGAAGAGUACCUGAGACUGAAGAUAACGUGAAUUUAUAGUACUUGUUAUAUUAAUGCUGGCUUUAAAAUGUACAUUGUAGAGUGCUAUUAGACAUACGUAAAACCGUAUUUUCUUAAUUAUGACUUUUCUGAUGGACUUCAAUAUGGUCAACCGAAUUCACCAUCAUAAAGGGGAAGAAAACUGCGUCCUUACUAAGCUGUGGACUUACCUCAGGGCUUUUGUGACGCCUCAACGGCGUUUUCAUGCUGUUUUUAGGAGGUACACCCAUUAUUUUUCCCUAUGAAAAUAAUCCUAAAUCAACUGAUGGUAUGUUUUUCUGGAGGCUGUGUGCGCCCCACUAGUUCUCACUGUGAAAAAUCUAGAGUCUCUCCUAUCCCAGUUUUCCACUCAGAAGGCUUAAGACAAAAAGCGCAGAGCGCUCAGAACCGGAAAUGAGGGGAGCUCAGUCUGAGGAAAACUUACCGCGAAGAGCGAGCGGAAGGUAGAGUGGCUUCACCGGGCUCUGGGGGCUGACCUGGAACCUUCGGCAGCCAUGGGCUCGUCCCCUCUUGUUGUCAGACUAUUUAGUAACGAGUCUGACACCAUUUAUUCCAGGGAAAACGACCCAGGUCAGAAGAGCCAAGAGGCUCGCACCAACGCUUCUCCUGAAAUUUGGCCCGGAGCCGCCGCUUUAUACCGCUGGAGAACCGGAAGUCAGCAGCAAGAACAUUGUGACUAUCAAGAUAAAACAGUGAGGCAGAAGUUACAUUUUUCAUUAAAGAUCACCAGAAAGUUAAGCAGCAUGGUGAAAAGAAGAAAGGGAAAGAAAAAAGGUGUAUAAAAGUUGAAGAAAAAUAUAUCCUACCAUAUGU